Triticum aestivum (bread wheat) is the source of this 1044-nucleotide long non-coding RNA. RefSeq lists it as uncharacterized. Lineage: Eukaryota; Viridiplantae; Streptophyta; Magnoliopsida; Poales; Poaceae. The transcript has 3 exons. The record is from RefSeq and is a predicted model, not a curated record.
ACCGGGAAAACCAGGUCGCCUCUCCCUCCCCUCCCCUGACCAUCUAUUAGGGCAAAACACACAAACGCGCCGCCGCCAGCCCUGUCUAACUCUUCCCCGGCCGUCUGCUCCUCAUGUCCCCGUCAGCCAAGUUCCCUCCUCUAGGUGAUCCCUCUCAGCUGUGACGGUGAUGCCCGUCGACCAAUUGCAGCCGUCAGAAUCGCCGGCCGGCGCGCAGCAGGGUGAGAAACCAUGGACAACUCCGGCGAGGAAGGGUGUGUUGCUGCGGUGUCGGCUGCGGGGAUGAGGCGCCUCAUGAGAUUGAGUAUAUUUGCAUGCGCUGGGGCGAGAAUGGCACCACGAGGUUGCUGUUGACUACGAUUCCCAUGUUCCAGGAGGUGAGGUUCUGCCUGCUUUGUGAAAGUUUGUUGCUCUGAUUGGAGAACGGUGGUAAAUCUGCAUGUUGUUGUGAUGACUUUCGAAUGCCCGCAUUGUAAUGAAAGGUAAUGCAACGCUCGUCUAUAAUUUACGGGGCACUUCUGCACGUGCAAGUGCAGUAUCUUUCUAUGUUCUUAUGAAUUAGGAACAAACGAGGCCCAGUUUGCUUGGCAGCCCCAGCCCAAUAACCAAGGAUCAUUUGUGGCUACAAAUGAGAUGCUGCAUUGUUCAUCAUGGCUAUUGGUCUGCACUGCAAGUCUGUAACCGAGAUCAGAGCGUUGUGUGCAGAUAACUGACGGAAAGGAGCUCCUAAAGGGAAGGACUUACACUGACAAUCGUCAUAUCAAGAAGGUACACUUCACCAAGGCUACAAUAUAAAGAAGCACAUCGAGAGAUCUUUCCAGGAACCACAUGCUGCAAUAAACAUAUGUGAAGUGAACAGAGGAACAUACUUGGUUUUCAUGAGAUCAACUGUCUAAUACUCUCGAAAACAAAUAUAUUUGAAUAAAAUUGUUUGCAUUGGGUAUCUAAAGAUGUAUAUUUUUCUACUAGGUUGCUUCCCUUGUAAAGAACAUCUUGAUUCAAGACAGAUGGAAUAUUUCAUAUAUACAAUUGCCUCUUUAUUAC